RNAcentral lists this ribosomal RNA (563 nucleotides) under uncultured Thermomonas sp. RNAcentral's name for it is "bacterial SSU rRNA". It matches the Rfam family "Bacterial small subunit ribosomal RNA", at positions 8 to 558 of the family's 1533-position model. Lineage: Bacteria; Pseudomonadati; Pseudomonadota; Gammaproteobacteria; Lysobacterales; Lysobacteraceae. The record is from RNAcentral.
AGAGUUUGAUCCUGGUUCAGAGUGAACGCUGGCGGCAGGCCUAAUACAUGCAAGUCGAACGGCAGCACAGCUUAAGCUUGCUUAAGUGGGUGGCGAGUGGCGGACGGGUGAGGAAUACAUGGGAAUCUGCCCAGUCGUGGGGGAUAACGUAGGGAAACUUACGCUAAUACCGCAUGCGCCCUUCGGGGGAAAGCCGGGGACCUUCGGGCCUGGCGCGAUUGGAUGAGCCCAUGUCGGAUUAGCUAGUUGGCGGGGUAACGGCCCACCAAGGCGACGAUCCGUAGCUGGUCUGAGAGGAUGAUCAGCCACACUGGAACUGAGACACGGUCCAGACUCCUACGGGAGGCAGCAGUAGGGAAUAUUGGACAAUGGGCGCAAGCCUGAUCCAGCCAUGCCGCGUGAGUGAAGAAGGCCCUUGGGUUGUAAAGCUCUUUUGUCCGGAAAGAAAAGCUUUGGGUUAAUACCCUGAAGUCCUGACGGUACCGGAAGAAUAAGCACCGGCUAACUUCGUGCCAGCAGCCGCGGUAAUACGAAGGGUGCAAGCGUUACUCGGAAUUACUGGG